This 152-nucleotide unclassified non-coding RNA is filed under the name soil metagenome. Its description in RNAcentral is "partial internal transcribed spacer 1". The record is from RNAcentral.
UAAUAAGUGGUUUUAUGGCACUUUUUAAAAUCCAUAUCCACCUUGUGUGCAAUGUCAGUCGAUCUUUCUUCAUGGAGAUCGAACCAAACAUCAACCUUUUAUUUUUUAACUCUUUGUCUGAAAAAUAUUAUGAAAUAAAACAAUUCAAAAUA